CCUACGGGGGGCGGCAGUGAGGAAUAUUGGGCAAUGCCCGCAAGGGUGACCCAGCAACGCCGCGUGGAGGAUGAAUGUCGUAAGAUUGUAAACUCCUGUUAGAGGGGAAGAAUAGUACCGGUUGGACCGGUAUAUGACUGUACCCUCAGAGAAAGCCCCGGCUAACUACGUGCCAGCAGCCCCGGUC
RNAcentral lists this ribosomal RNA (187 nucleotides) under uncultured bacterium. Its description in RNAcentral is "partial 16S rRNA". It matches the Rfam family "Bacterial small subunit ribosomal RNA", at positions 338 to 522 of the family's 1533-position model. The record is from RNAcentral.